RNAcentral lists this ribosomal RNA (495 nucleotides) under uncultured bacterium. RNAcentral's name for it is "partial 16S ribosomal RNA". It matches the Rfam family "Bacterial small subunit ribosomal RNA", at positions 28 to 507 of the family's 1533-position model. The record is from RNAcentral.
GACGAACGCUGGCGGCGUGCCUAAUACAUGCAAGUAGAACGCUGAAGGAGGAGCUUGCUUCUCUGGAUGAGUUGCGAACGGGUGAGUAACGCGUAGGUAACCUGCGUGGUAGCGGGGGAUAACUAGUGGAAACGAUAGCUAAUACCGCAGAACAGUAGAUAUCGCAUGAUAUCUACUGGAAAGGUGCAAUUGCAUCACUACCAGAUGGACCUGCGUUGUAUUAGGUAGUUGGUGAGGUAACGGCUCACCAAGGCGACGAUACAGAGCCGACCUGAGAGGGUGGACGGCACAACUGGGAAUGAGACCCGGCCCAGACUCCUACGGGAGGCAGCAGGAGGGAAACUUCGGACAUGGGCGGAAGUCUGACCGAGCAAAGCCGGGGGAGUGAAGAAGGUUUUCGGAUCGGAAAGCUCUGUUGUAAGAGAAGAAAGAGUGUGAGAGUGGAAAGUUCACACUGUGACGGUAUCUUAACAGAAAGCGACGGCUAACUACGUG